AACGAACGCUGGCGGCAUGCCUAACACAUGCAAGUCGAACGAGACCUUCGGGUCUAGUGGCGCACGGGUGCGUAACGCGUGGGAACCUGCCCUUAGGUUCGGAAUAACUCCCCGAAAGGGGUGCUAAUACCGGAUAAUGUCUUCGGACCAAAGAUUUAUCGCCAUUGGAUGGGCCCGCGUUGGAUUAGCUAGUUGGUAGGGUAAAAGCCUACCAAGGCGACGAUCCAUAGCUGGUCUGAGAGGAUGAUCAGCCAGACUGGGACUGAGACACGGCCCAGACUCCUACGGGAGGGAGCAGUGGGGAAUAUUGGACAAUGGGCGAAAGCCUGAUUCAGCAAUGCCGCGUGAGUGAUGAAGGCCUUAGGGUUGUAAAGCUCUUUUACCCGGGAUGAUAAUGACAGUACCGGGAGAAUAAGCUCCGGCUAACUCCGUG
This 433-nucleotide ribosomal RNA is filed under the name uncultured bacterium. RNAcentral's name for it is "partial 16S ribosomal RNA". It matches the Rfam family "Bacterial small subunit ribosomal RNA", at positions 29 to 507 of the family's 1533-position model. The record is from RNAcentral.